This is an RNA transcript of Zea mays, 2102 nucleotides long. RefSeq lists it as uncharacterized. The transcript is spliced from 15 exons. The record is from RefSeq and is marked provisional. NCBI's taxonomy places the organism in Eukaryota, Viridiplantae, Streptophyta, Magnoliopsida, Poales, Poaceae.
UUACAAGGUUUGGAACCCUAACGGGCCAGCCCAACAGUACUUUCACUAAUCCCUGCUCUUCAAUCGACUUACUCAAAUAACUGAUACUCCCUAAAAGCACAAGAAUCAGCAACACAUACAACUCACAUAGUGCUAACAGAACCCGACGGGAUUCAGGUUGACGACGUGACGGCGGAACCCCCUUCGACCCCUGCUCCACGGGGAGACGUGGAGAUGAUGACCGAGGACGAGAAGGAGAAGGCCAGAUUGUUUCUGCCUGAUUUGAGGCGAAGCCCCACUUCUAGUUCGCGGGGUCCGGCUGUGGAGGAGAUGACUUCGAAUGAAUCUGUUAGCAGUAAUAGCAUCUCAAACUUUAAAUGGGGUGCAACCAAUAGGCGGUCUCGGACGCAGUUUAGAGGACAAGGAGACACUGAGAUUUCGGCUCCAGCCUUAAUUGGAAGCUCAGACAAAGGGAUUUCUGGCCUCUCUGCUGGCACCUCAAAGGAGAAGAAAGGCACUGAAGAAACUCGUAGUGCACAGAACACAGGAGGUCCUCUCAGUCUCAACAUCAUCGAUGGUGUUACGUCAGGUUCUCCAGUACCUAGUGCAGUAACCCCUAACUACUCAAAACAUGAUUCCACAGAUUUAGGGCUUAUUAGUUCUUCAUCAAGUCCAGUAACAAGCGCACAACGGCCACUCCCAAGCUCCAGCGUAGGCUCAAACUCAAGAGAAUCAAAAAAGAGGGAUACCGCUUUGCAUCCACUGAUUUUCAAGGAAGCUGGCCUUCCAGAUAAUACUUUGUUGACUUACAAGUUGAAGAACGGAGAGGCACUACUGCAAGGGUAUAAGCAGGGAGCAGGUAUUGUCUGCAAUUGUUGCAAUCAAGAGGUUUCCCCUUCGGAAUUUGAAAAACACGCUGGCAUGGGGAAAAGACGACAACCGUAUCAAAACAUUUAUACAUCACAAGGAUUAACACUCCAUGAUGUUGCUCUGCAACUGCAUCAUUUGAAUUUGAAUUCAAAUGGAUUUAGCAAUGCUAGUGUUUCCAGCUUCAGUGACUACCCAAACCUUACUUCUUCAGGUUGUGGCAAAGAACCUUCUGUCAGUGGACCUAUUGUCCCCCUGAAACGGACUUUACAAGAAAGAGUGGUCCAAACAGAGAGUUGCUAUUUCUGUGGGUAUGGCCACACAGAGCUUGGAAAAAUUGAUCCAAACAUGAUUGUCUUCUGUAACCAGUGUGAGAGACCAUGCCACGUGAAAUGUUACAAUAGUAGAGUUGUAAAAAAGAAGGUGCCUCUGGAAAUUUUGAAAGACUACUUGUGUUUUCACUUCUUGUGCUGCCAAGAAUGUCAGUCACUUCGUGUCCGUCUAGAAGGAAUGGAGAAGUGUGAAGAGAUUGCCUUCCUUGGACGGAUAAGAUCCAAUAUUUGUUGGCGGCUUUUAAGUAGCGCUGACGCAAGUAGGGAUGUUAAACUCUACUUGUCUCAGGUCAUCGACAUCUUCAAAGAUGCAUUUUUGGAAUCUACUGAUGCGCACAGUGACAUCUCAGAUAUGGUUUAUGGUCCUUUUUUCAUAGAUUGGAAUAUGGAAACAAUCUAAACUUCAUUGUCGCAGAAAAAAUAGAGAAGGAGAGAAGGAUUUUCGAGGAAUGUAUUGUGUAGUGUUAACUGCAAGUACGCAUGUUGUGUCUGCUGCGAUUCUGAAAGUGCGCGUGGAACAUGCUGCAGAACUGGUCCUUAUUGCUACUCGUAGCGAGUGCAGAAAAAAGGGCUACUUCAGACUUCUCCUAGAGUCAAUCGAGACAAAUUUGAGAGCCUGUAAUGUAAGCCUUCUUAUGGCACCUGUUGACCCUGAAAUGGCACAAAUCUGGUCAGAUAAACUCGGGUUCACCAUUUUAUCAGCCGAUGAGAAGAAGUCCAUGCUGGAGUCGCACCCUUUGGUGAUGUUCAAGAACCUAGUCUUGGUGCAGAAACCACUUGCUUGAGCCAAUUUAAUUAAUGUUUGAUUAUACUACUCUUUUCAUCCUGAAAUAUAAUUCGUUUUAGGCUAAACAUACAUUCAUUAUUUAAAUUAUGAGUGUAGUUUGUAUGCAUGUCUAUAUUUCAUGGUUAUUUUUUCUUAAA